GUCCGGGUAGCUCAACUGGAAAGAGCACCGCCUUGCGAAGGCGACGGUUUCGAGUUCGAGUCUCGAUCCGGACACCA
RNAcentral lists this transfer RNA (77 nucleotides) under Pseudomonas sp. PLMAX. RNAcentral describes it as "tRNA-Arg". It matches the Rfam family "tRNA". From Rfam's summary of the family: Transfer RNA (tRNA) molecules are approximately 80 nucleotides in length. Their secondary structure includes four short double-helical elements and three loops (D, anti-codon, and T loops). Lineage: Bacteria; Pseudomonadati; Pseudomonadota; Gammaproteobacteria; Pseudomonadales; Pseudomonadaceae. RNAcentral also lists the same sequence under 1 other name. The record is from RNAcentral.